This 495-nucleotide ribosomal RNA is filed under the name uncultured Eubacteriales bacterium. Its description in RNAcentral is "bacterial SSU rRNA". It matches the Rfam family "Bacterial small subunit ribosomal RNA", at positions 17 to 507 of the family's 1533-position model. The record is from RNAcentral. Lineage: Bacteria; Bacillati; Bacillota; Clostridia; Eubacteriales.
UCCUGGCGUCAGGAUGAACGCUGGCGGCGUGCUUAACACAUGCAAGUCGAACGAAGCAUAAGAGACAGAAUACUACGGUAGGAAGAUUUUUAUGACUGAGUGGCGGACGGGUGAGUAACGCGUGGGUAACCUGCCUCAUACAGGGGGAUAACAGUUAGAAAUGGCUGCUAAUACCGCAUAAGCGCACAGUACUGCAUGGUACAGUGUGAAAAACUCUGGUGGUAUGAGAUGGACCCGCGUCUGAUUAGCUAGUUGGUGAGGUAAGGGGCUCACCAAGGCAACGAUCAGUAGCCGACCUGAGAGGGUGAACGGCCACAUUGGGACUGAGACACGGCCCAAACUCCUACGGGAGGCAGCAGUGGGGAAUAUUGCACAAUGGGGGGGAACCCUGAUGCAGCGACGCCGCGUGAAGGAAGAAGUAUUUCGGUAUGUAAACUUCUAUCAGCAGGGAAGAAAAUGACGGUACCUGACUAAGAAGCCCCGGCUAACUACGUG